Phascolarctos cinereus (koala) is the source of this 699-nucleotide long non-coding RNA. RefSeq lists it as uncharacterized. NCBI's taxonomy places the organism in Eukaryota, Metazoa, Chordata, Mammalia, Diprotodontia, Phascolarctidae. The record is from RefSeq and is a predicted model, not a curated record.
UGCUGCUGUGGGAAGUCUUCACAUGCUUGAGGUAGACAUCCCCCUAACUCACCAAUGGGUUUGAGGCCUGUCAGUUCCUUUCAACUUGAUUUAGCCCAUCCAAUGAAGAUUUACCAAGGUGCAGCCACUGCACAUUCUACAGCUUCUGCAGCCACAGAUCCUAGCUGUCCAGUUCCAGAGUCCCAGUAGACACUUGGGGCACAGCAGCUCUCCUGAGGCUGAAGGGGCACAGCAAGGUAAGUGAUCAAACAUAUUGAGGAAGAACAUCAAUAAAUGAGGCAACUUUUUGUCCCUUAAAACUUCUAGGUGGUUGCAGUGACAGUAGUGUCCUAUUACAAUGUGGCUGAAUGGAAUGAAUAACUCAUCAGAAACUCCUGGCUGAGGUGGAUGGUAUAUAGGCGCAAGCAUGGAUAGAUUCUGCCAGGACUUUUCCAUUCCAACAUAAAUAGGAUUAUCAUCCUGAAGAUGGCCCUGGUAGCCCCUCCCCUGAUUUGUGAGUUCUUACCUGGCACAACUAUUUCAAGAAGAAACAUUUGAAAUAAAGAUGUAUUUGUAUCUCCAGUGUUUAGCACAGUGAUUGGCACAUAAUAAAGUACUUUAUAAAUGCUUUAUCUAUCCAGUUGGCUUCACCCUCAUUGAAGGUCUUUGAACAAAGGUUGGAUGUUGAUAUAUUUUAGAGAAAAUUCUUCCAUAGGAAGG